Molecule: long non-coding RNA, 167 nt
Organism: Passer montanus (Eurasian tree sparrow)
Lineage: Eukaryota; Metazoa; Chordata; Aves; Passeriformes; Passeridae
Exons: 2
Source: RefSeq, a predicted model, not a curated record
GGGGUGGAGGUUGAGUACCUGAUCCACCACGCCGACCUGGACCAGGACGGGGCCCUGAGCCGGGAGGAGAUUUUGGGCCGUUGGGAGCUUUUCGUGGGGAGCCGAGCCACGGACUACGGGCAGGACCUGCACAGGGCCCACGACGAGCUCUGAGCCCCAAAAACACC